This is a long non-coding RNA of Aethalodelphis obliquidens (Pacific white-sided dolphin), 708 nucleotides long. RefSeq lists it as uncharacterized. The record is from RefSeq and is a predicted model, not a curated record. The transcript is spliced from 3 exons. Lineage: Eukaryota; Metazoa; Chordata; Mammalia; Artiodactyla; Delphinidae.
AUCUGAGGACCCCAAAUUUGGGGAGCUAGUCCAGAACCGUCCAGCCAACAUCCUAGAUUUUUUUGGGAUUUUUUGGGGCCCCCGGGACCCCUCUAGAUGGGGUGAGGAAUGUAGUGUUGGGGGAAUCUGACUGGGGCAUUGCAGCUGCCUCUCCCGCCGAGUUGGAGACGGAUGGGCUGGGACGGGUUUGGGGGGGGGGUGUCCCCAAUUCUGACUGGGAGUGGAGGAGCCCCCUCAUGUGCUCUCUUGUGGGGGUCCCCCCUCCCUAGGGCACUCCCCACUCCCUGAGCCAGCCGAGAGGAAGGAGGCCAGCGAUGCGACUGGGGCGGCUCCUUUCUCCUGCACCCCAAAUGUGAGGGAUGCACCCCAAAUUUUGUUCCCUUCAAAAUAGGGGACCAGGAUCUCAGGGGAGAGUAGCUGAGGGUCCUCGUUUUCCUGAAGCCUUGCAGUCACUUAGGGCAAAUGGAGCCUGAAGAGUGGAGUCCAACUGAGAGUGGGAAAGGCCCGUCUUCUACUUCUCUUCUGGGAGAGAUGUAUGAAUGUGGAAGGCUACCAGUUCUCCAGGGACUUUGUUGCUAACAAAACUAGCAACAAAGUAGGAAAGAUGUUGAGCUGGAAGGGAGUUUGAGGAAGAUGGAACAAUGGGUAUGGAGGAAGAAAGCUGCCCACCCGCCCUUUCUCUGCCAGCCAACCCUCCCUCACACUGUC